GAAUGCUGACAUAAGUAACGAUAAAGCGGGUGAAAAGCCCGCUCGCCGGAAGACCAAGGGUUCCUGUCCAACGUUAAUCGGGGCAGGGUGAGUCGACCCCUAAGGCGAGGCCGAAAGGCGUAGUCGAUGGGAAACGGGUUAAUAUUCCCGUACUUGGUGUUACUGCGAAGGGGGGACGGAGAAGGCUAUGUUGGCCGGGCGACGGUUGUCCCGGUUUAAGCGUGUAGGUGUGUGUUCCAGGUAAAUCCGGUUCACUUUAACACUGAGGCGUGACGACGAGGCACUACGGUGCUGAAGCAACAAAUGCCCUGCUUCCAGGAAAAGCCUCUAAGCAUCAGGUAACAUCAAAUCGUACCCCAAACCGACACAGGUGGUCAGGUAGAGAAUACCAAGGCGCUUGAGAGAACUCGGGUGAAGGAACUAGGCAAAAUGGUGCCGUAACUUCGGGAGAAGGCACGCUGACACGUAGGUGAAGUGAUUUACUCAUGGAGCUGAAGUCAGUCGAAGAUACCAGCUGGCUGCAACUGUUUAUUAAAAACACAGCACUGUGCAAACACGAAAGUGGACGUAUACGGUGUGACGCCUGCCCGGUGCCGGAAGGUUAAUUGAUGGGGUCAGCGCAAGCGAAGCUCCUGAUCGAAGCCCCGGUAAACGGCGGCCGUAACUAUAACGGUCCUAAGGUAGCGAAAUUCCUUGUCGGGUAAGUUCCGACCUGCACGAAUGGCGUAAUGAUGGCCAGGCUGUCUCCACCCGAGACUCAGUGAAAUUGAACUCGCUGUGAAGAUGCAGUGUACCCGCGGCAAGACGGAAAGACCCCGUGAACCUUUACUAUAGCUUGACACUGAACAUUGAGCCUUGAUGUGUAGGAUAGGUGGGAGGCUUUGAAGUGUGGACGCCAGUCUGCAUGGAGCCGACCUUGAAAUACCACCCUUUAAUGUUUGAUGUUCUAACGUGGACCCGUUACCCGGGUUGCGGACAGUGUCUGGUGGGUAGUUUGACUGGGGCGGUCUCCUCCUAAAGAGUAACGGAGGAGCACGAAGGUUGGCUAAUCCUGGUCGGACAUCAGGAGGUUAGUGCAAUGGCAUAAGCCAGCUUGACUGCGAGCGUGACGGCGCGAGCAGGUGCGAAAGCAGGUCAUAGUGAUCCGGUGGUUCUGAAUGGAAGGGCCAUCGCUCAACGGAUAAAAGGUACUCCGGGGAUAACAGGCUGAUACCGCCCAAGAGUUCAUAUCGACGGCGGUGUUUGGCACCUCGAUGUCGGCUCAUCACAUCCUGGGGCUGAAGUAGGUCCCAAGGGUAUGGCUGUUCGCCAUUUAAAGUGGUACGCGAGCUGGGUUUAGAACGUCGUGAGACAGUUCGGUCCCUAUCUGCCGUGGGCGCUGGAGAACUGAGGGGGGCUGCUCCUAGUACGAGAGGACCGGAGUGGACGCAUCACUGGUGUUCGGGUUGUCAUGCCAAUGGCACUGCCCGGUAGCUAAAUGCGGAAGAGAUAAGUGCUGAAAGCAUCUAAGCACGAAACUUGCCCCGAGAUGAGUUCUCCCUGAGACUUAGAGUCUCCUGAAGGAACGUUGAAGACGACGACGUUGAU
Molecule: ribosomal RNA, 1587 nt
Filed under: Salmonella enterica subsp. enterica serovar Enteritidis
Lineage: Bacteria; Pseudomonadati; Pseudomonadota; Gammaproteobacteria; Enterobacterales; Enterobacteriaceae
Description: partial 23S ribosomal RNA
Rfam family: Bacterial large subunit ribosomal RNA
Source: RNAcentral